Molecule: long non-coding RNA, 5757 nt
Organism: Numida meleagris (helmeted guineafowl)
Lineage: Eukaryota; Metazoa; Chordata; Aves; Galliformes; Numididae
Exons: 2
Source: RefSeq, a predicted model, not a curated record
GGCGCGUCCCCGCUGCCGCCGUCCGUCCCCGCGGCGCCGCUGCAGGCGCAGCCCCGCCACGCGUGGGCGCCCCGCACGGGUUUGGUGUCGGACCGGGGGGAAGCGGCGUUCGCGGGGCUUUUUCGCGGGGUUGUUCGGGUGCGAUGGGACAGGGACGCAGGUAGGUGUGUUCCAGCAUCUCCGGUUCGCCCGAGACCCCGCUUCGGCUGCCCCACCUCCCCGGGGCCAGCGUAGAGCAUCACUUCCUACGUGUGUGACGUCGUUCCAGCCCACCAGAAAGCAAAACAUGGGGGAAAAAAGCCAACAAAUUCUAUAGCUUGAACACGUGGCAUCGUGCCCCUGCACGGCUGGCUUCGUCACAGAGCUCGUUACCCGCUCUGAAGGCUCCAGCGAUGCGUUCCCGCUGGUGGAGUCCCGCUGGCUUGGAGAGGGAGAGAAAGGAAAAAUACGUCUUAGAGGGCAGAAGCCACUGCAUCCAUCAUCAGGGCCGCGCGGGAGCUGGGGUUUUCCUGACAGAGCUGCUGCUUCCAUCCCACAGCCCCUAUCCCACAGCCCCUAUCCCACAGCCCCCAUCCCACAGCCCCUAUCCCACAGCCCCCAUCCCACUGCCCCAUCCCACAGCCCUCAUCCCACUGCUCCCAUCCCACUGCUCCCAUCCCACACCCUCUAUCCCACUGCCCCCAUGCCACUGCCCCCAUCCCACUGUUCCCAUCCUGCAGCUCCCAUCCCACUGCCCAUGGGGCUGAGCCCAGGCAGGGCCCAUUGCUCACUUUGGCAUCACCCUACAGUGCUGCCCUGCUGGAAGAAGCAGACCAAACCCUGCAAACAGGCAAUGUGUCCCAUCUGCUUGCUGGAUCCCAGAUAAAACCCCAAGGAUCUGCAGGCUAAAUAUAGCCUGAGCCCCUGUAAAUUAAACAAAAGCUUUUCGCUGGGCUCUCCGAAAGCUGGUUCCAGUGUUGGUUUUCUCUAUGUAAGGUAUAACUCUGGUGGUAUCUGUUAUUGUUAGCUGGAGCUCCCCGUGCUGCCGGCCCCCCUGGCAUGGCUCUUUAGGAAUACUCAUCAUGUAGGGCUGAGCUUCUCCCUCCCAGCUGCUGCUCCUGCCUGAGCUCCCACCCUGCAGGGAGCCUCAGCCCCUCCUGCCCCAGCACCAUCCUGCCUGCGCAUCCUAGGGUGUCCGUGCCUCCAUUUGCGCACACACUGCUGCUCGCUGCCCGCCUGCUUUCAGUGAACUCAAAAAGUCGGCCCCAAGCCUGCCAUGGCUAUAUUUAGUUGGAACUUUUCUGUCCAGGAUUCAGACUCUAUUUGGAAACCUUGUGCCUUGGCGUACCGCCAAGCAUCCUGGUUUUAUACAGUAAUCCCUCAGCAUACGGCAAAUGGUUCUCAUCUCCCUGCGGCUGCGGCAUGGCCCCAGCAGUGCGACAACACAGCUCUGAUCUGAAAGCGAGAUGGGCUGUGGUCAUGGCCCCACAUCUCCAGGCCAGGAGCUCUUUGGAUAGGAACAUCCUCCUUCUGUUGCUUUCAAACAUCCCCGGAGCUGCCCCGACCCCACGGUUUCUCAGAGCUCUGAUGGAUGCUGAGCUGUGCUCGCAGCAUCACAACGCCCAUAUGUUUCUCCAUAGGAUGGUUUGGGUGAAUCAGGGUUUAGCACAGCCCUGUGUAUGCACAGGGCUUGGUGCGGCCCCUCCAUCUCCACCUAUUUGCGGGGAACUCCCUCUUCAGCUUUGCAGCACUGCAACCCUCACACAAAAAGCAAAGUGAGGACAUGGCCUGGGAGUCCCCCAAAACAUUUGGCACUUUCAAAUCAGCCCCAGGAAUGCUGGGGAGGCAGGAGCUGGUGGUUUGUCGGGGGGGGUUUCGGCCCUGUAAGCGCAGCACUCAGCAAAGGUUCCAGCUCUGCACAUAGCUCUGUGCGUGCGUAAAUGUAUUACAGCAUCUCUCUUGGAAACCCUCAGCACAGAUAUUCCAGCCCGUGGAAAGCAAAACCAGAGGUUCCCAAUGAUGUGUGCGUUUCUCUUCUUGUGAGAGGCGGGGAGGGACAGAGCCAGCUGGGAAAGGUGAUCCCGUGGCUAUUUAUACAGCGCUUCAAAAUGGUUUAAUGUCGGGACGGGAAUGAUGAUGUACAACAAAACUAUCCGCUCCAGAACCUCCAGACCUAAAUCCCACACCAUUAUUUUAGUGCAGCAGGUUAAGGGAUCUGAUGGAGUGUGUUCUUGAAACGAUGCUUCAUCUCGCUCCUUGCGGCACGCAGUGGGAGCUGCUCACAGGGAGCAGCACGAGGUGCAUUGGGUGCUGGGUACCCAUGGUGUGUGCAGGCUUUGGGAGCCCAGGGGGGUGGAGCGAGAGUCCCGCAACGCCCCAGCACUGCUGGAGCCCAUCCAAGCUGUAUGGCUUUGCUGAGACACCCAUGAGUGUGCUCCCUACAGCGCUGUGAUUCAUCCUCAGCCACUCAGUUCAGCUGUAGCCUUUCAUCUGCCGGGAAUGUGGCAUUUUCCUAAAUCGCAUGGUUUUUUUGUGCUGCUAUUACACACCUACGGGUCCAGCUGUUCCCUCCUGGACACUUUCUGGAUUAUGCCAUUGUGUCUGAAAGGCGCCAGGUGCCCGCACAGCUCAGGUCCCACAGCAUAGGGUGGCACUGGGUCACACUGCAGACCAGCGGCAGCCUGGGGCCAUGGGGUGCCUGCUAGCAGUGGCACGGGGAGCACUGAGCCCUGCCUGCAGGCUGUGUGCAUCCAUGCAUCCCACAGGGUGGGAUCAUCUCACGUCUGUUUGCCAUGAUUCCAGCUUUUCUCCGUCUCAGCUACCCCAGCUCGUGGUGCCAAACGCCGCCCCGCCGUGUUUAUUAAUGCUGAUUGUAAAACCUUGGCAAACACUUCUGCCAGCAGGUCUGCAGAAACCUCGCCGGAUGCGGUGCCUCCGAGCAGAUGGGGCUGGUUAGGAGGUGUCAUGCUGCUAACAGCACCGUGCAGCUCUGCACUCACAGCGUGCUCCAAGCCAGCAGUGAACUGAGCUGAAAGCACGGGGAGUGCAGCUCUGAGUGCCCGGCCAGGCAGCACCUCCUCCUUCCCUCUUCUCACAGGCUGCAACUUUUCCUCCAACCCGCCGUGCCCAUAUCCUCACUGCCAUCACUGCUGCUGUGCAGCACCAGUGCACCUGGGACCGUGCACAGCACCACUGCUUUGCUCACCGGGCACUGCUUUGUGGUUUCCCCAUUACUCCCUCCAUUUGCUCUGUUCUCCACCACCGAAAACCUCCCGAAGGUGCUGAACAGUGUUCAAUGAAUGCUCACCGAUGACAUCAGCCAUUCAAGUCUGCACAGGUGCACAGAGAACCUCCACAUCUCCAAGCAGCCUCCAAGACCGUUUUUGCAUAUAUUUUGGUGAGAGUGUGAUUUUCCCACUAUGCUAUUACUUGGGUUAAAAUAACCACUGGGAGCAGAGUUACUGUCACCCACAGCACCAUUUUCUAAAUGUUUCAGUAGUGUCAUGUCACACCAAUGUUAGGUGACACAGGCACAGCAGGGCUGCACCAAAGCAUCCCUCUCUGCUGUGCCAAGAUGUAAUUCCUGGGAGCUCCAUGACGGGGAUAUGGGUGGAAACCCUCAGCAAAAUGCCCGCGGGCAUAUGGCUGUCUCCUUCUGGAGCCCAUGCGUUGUUGUCGUCUUCUGCAGAGGGCUCAGGGCUGCUUGUCCACCCCAGCACCCAGGGGGAAAAGCUGCGCUGCAUCCCUGCUUCACCCACACCGUCCUCCCCUGACAGCCGGCUCCUGGCUGCAUGGGCAAACUCAGAGAAGGGGCCGGCUCAGGAGCACUCUGGCACCAUGCCCAAGGGACACCCCUCCCCACGGCAUUUUCUAAUUUCCAGGCGGAUCUGUCACUCUCCAGGCCGCGUGCCACGUCUCGCUGCGAGUUAAUAUAAAGCCGCGACCACCUGCGGGCAGGAGCAGAAGAGCGCGUCCUUCUCACGGCCCCACCAGCGUCGCUGCACAGAGCAGAAGUGCAAAAAAAAGCCAAAAAACAGCCUGGAAGUUUCUCCCAUGGGUUUUUCCCUUUGAAAUCUGACAUCUUUCCUCUCUCAGGAAAACGUUCUCUGAGGAACACCCUGGGGAGGCAGGAGGCAGCCCACUUGUCUCUGCGCUGCAGGACGGGAUCCUUUCGUAGCAUCUCCUCUGUGCUACUGGGGAUCCCUUCUUGCCCCUGUGGCAGCACACAGCGAGGGAUGCAAUAGAGCUGAGCUAUGGCAGAGCCAAUGCAGCACGAGGGCAAGGCAGCACCAGGCUGGUAGCCUCACCUAGUGCAAGCCAUCCUUCGGGUGGCUCUUGGGAUCAGUCCCCACACUGCGCGGCCUUCCAGCAUCUCCCCCUGUAUCUCUGUUCUCUGGAUGCGAAGAUCCAGGAGCUGCCAGCAAACACUGACACUCUCCUAGCACUCCUCAGGGUGAAAAAUGCUCAGUGCAAAUCCCUGGCACACAUCAAGCUUUCCAGAGAGCUUUGCCCCAUUCUGCAGCUGGGCUGCCCCUCAGGGAGCCUCAGGGCAUCGAUAACGCCGAAGUGGGCACCUUCCAGCUUCGUGGGGCUUUGCCGUCGCUUUCUGGGCUGGGAGCUGAGCCCCAUGGGCAGCUGGGCCCUGCUGGGGGGAGCGGCGGAAAACAACAAAUUGUCAGGUGUCAGAGCAGGGAAUUGUCAGUGACUCAGGUUUAAGAAGGAGAAUUUUUGCCAAGCAAAAUGUGAUGGCUUUUUUGGACGGGGCUGGAAGACAGGGCUGCAGCUCUGAUUGAUGCAGCUCGCAGCGUGCUGCUUGCGUCAGUCCAGAGGGAGAGGCUCUGCAUGACCUGCGGUGCUGGUGUGGGGGUGCGCACAUGGGGGGCACACGGUGCAUGGGGAUGUUCUUUCCCUUGGGCACGGUGGGGCAGGGGCUGGCAGCUGUGUGUCGGUCUCAUCUGCUCACAUUUGCCGCCCUGAGGUUCUUUUCCAUGAAGGGAAUUCAGGGAGAAGCCGCUGCCCCAGCCCUUGAGGAAGGCAGCAGCAUGCAGAGAGAGAUCACCAGUGGGGCUUCUGAAUAAUCAUAAUUUCUUCUUUCUACCGUUUUAAUUUACUAAUUAAUCCUUGGAAGGAAUAUCUACUUGGAUGCAGGGAAAUAAUGGAACUCCUCCAUCUGCAUGUGCUCUGUGUCUCACCAGCAGCCUGGGCAAAGCCUCAGCAAGCGCAACGUGGUGAAGGCAGCACAGCGUUGCAGUUGGGCCACCGGGUUCUGUUCUGCAAACAGGGCUCCAGGCAGAGCCGUUCCCAGCCCCUGGCGACGCCUCCAGAGCUCCCUUGUCCUGGAGAGCCCUGGGCUCUGCUGGGGGAGCACAGACGGAAGGGAACCGGGCAUCCCACGGGCAUUGCUCUGCAAAGGGCUUAGCCCACUGCGUGGCUUUAGGUGAUUUUAGGGGGAAAGCGGGGCUGGAGGUCCCCAGGCAUGUCGCUACACGCUUCCCACACAGGCACACAGCCGGAGGCUCGCGAAGGUGGCACGCAGGGCGCAGCGAUGCCGUCUGUUCUGCCCCUCUCUGCCUGUUUCUCUCAAGAAAGUUCUUGACUGACUCCGGCUGUCAGUCCCCUUCUGCUUUUUUUCCAAGUCGGAGAGCUACGUGCACGUAUAGCGUCUUUAAUUAGUAUCAAUAGAGAGAAAAAUAAAUAAGAGACAUGCCUGAAAUAGUGUCACCCCCGAGCAGGCAGGCGGCCGCGUCAUGGAAAGAAAAUAAAAAUGCUUUUUAUCUC